UGGAGAUCCCGCUGGUGUAGGUGCGGCUCCCGGAGCGGGCAGGAGAACAUGGAGUAAGACAGGAGGCAUGAAGGAAGAAGACCUGCCGCUCACUCGUAAUCCCUCACCCAGAGGUGACCUGUGCAGCUUCUGCCGUUUUCUGCAAACAGCUUUUCUCCUUGCGGCAGCUGAUGCUCAAUGCUCCAGGACCCUACAGAGAAACCUUACUCCCACCACUGAGGAGGCCCCGGAGCCUUCGGCAGCAGCCCCUCCCGGCCCGAGUCCUCAUCCUGACAGCAGCGGGAAGGCCUGGCCCUGGUGGGGAGGCUGCCUGUGCCAUCCUGCUCUGGGCCGGGCUGCCCAGGGCUGCCCCAGGGAGGGUCUGGGUGCUGGAGAGCCGGACCCCGCCCUUCUGAGCCUCAGCAGGGUCCAGAACACCCACAGGGGGUUUGGGAGCCCGAGGCCAGCCCAGCGCCCAGGCGGCCGCAGGGCCAGAGAUGGACCCGACCCCUGCACUCCCUCCUGCCCAGCCUCUGCUCUCUUCGGCCCCAACCAUUUCUGCCUAGAAAACAAAACCUCAAGUAUCUUCUGAGCAGCGGCGUGAGGAUCAGUAAAGCAGUUGCCCUCCCGAGGUAUUGGGGUCCAGACCCUGCCUGCUCCUCACCAACGGCCCUGAGUGAUGGGACAUCCCUCCGAGUCCCGGCUCCCGCUCCUGGAGCAGGUGAUCCCCUGUGAGCUCUGUGUCCCCCGCACGCUCCCUCGCUGGCCAGCCCGCCCGGCAGUGUCUCAGUGUCGGGUGCCUGAGAGCGUGGGCCACUGGUGCACGGGACAGACGGCUCCAUGGCGGGUGAGGCCCAGACUCCGCUCUGCACCCGCAGGCCUCUCCGGGCCCGCAGUGUGGGGAAUCGUCCCCUUGAGGGGCGCAUGCGGGUCCCCUGCACAGCCCAGCCUGCCACAGGGGUGCUCUAGUUUUCUUUACAAAAUAUCAGAAAAAUGUUCCUCUGGAAGUGGUUGUUAUUCUCUCCCCUUCUGUGUUUGCUCCAGGCAGUGUCUGCAGACUCCCGCAGGAAUACUCACUGCUGUUGGCAGGGCCAAAGCUCAGGGCAGCCGUGGUCCCUGUGCUCCUGGGAACAGCAUCAGAACGAGCGGUUCUCGCGGAUCCUCAGGCAGCCGGCGCCCAGGCCCAGCAGGAGAGGGGACAAGGCUGCCCAGACCCUGGGAGGGGCUCUGA
This 1210-nucleotide long non-coding RNA is filed under the name Fukomys damarensis (Damara mole-rat). Its description in RNAcentral is "lncRNA (ENSFDAG00000029926.1)". The record is from RNAcentral. Lineage: Eukaryota; Metazoa; Chordata; Mammalia; Rodentia; Bathyergidae.